GACGAACGCUGGCGGCGUGCCUAAUACAUGCAAGUUGAGCGCUGAAGGUUGGUACUUGUACCAACUGGAUGAGCAGCGAACGGGUGAGUAACGCGUGGGUAAUCUGCCUUUGAGCGGGGGACAACAUUUGGAAACGAAUGCUAAUACCGCAUAAAAACUUUAAACACAAGUUUUAAGUUUGAAAGAUGCAAUUGCAUCACUCAAAGAUGAUCCCGCGUUUUAUUAGCUAGUUGGUGAGGUAAAGGCUCACCAAGGCGAUGAUACAUAGCCGACCUGAGAGGGUGAUCGGCCAAAUUGGGAAUGAGAAAAGGCCCAAACUCCUACGGGAGGCAGCAGUAGGGAAUCUUCGGCAAUGGACGAAAGUCUGAACGAGCAAAGCCGCGUUAGUGAAGAAGGUUUUCGGAUCGUAAAACUCUGUUGGUGGAGAAGAACGUUGGUGAGAGUGGAAAGCUCAUAAAGUGACGGUAACUAACCAGAAAGGGACGGCUAACUACGUG
Molecule: ribosomal RNA, 497 nt
Filed under: uncultured bacterium
Lineage: Bacteria
Description: partial 16S ribosomal RNA
Rfam family: Bacterial small subunit ribosomal RNA
Source: RNAcentral